AUCAUGGCUGUUGAAGACUGAAAACUUCCAUUUGUGCACAGAGCAGAUACAGCACAGGCAGUGGCAGCAUUAAGCUUCCUUCACUGGCUUGAGAUCAGGUGCUCAGGUGCUGGCCUCUUUGCUGAGACAGCCAAUCAGAUAUUAAUUAUCAUGACAAUUGUGAUGGUGGCUUUU
Molecule: small RNA, 174 nt
Filed under: Chelonoidis abingdonii (Abingdon island giant tortoise)
Lineage: Eukaryota; Metazoa; Chordata; Testudines; Testudinidae
Description: TUC338 (ENSCABG00000010052.1)
Source: RNAcentral